This is a non-coding RNA of Eremomyces bilateralis CBS 781.70, 91 nucleotides long. The record is from the annotation of a RefSeq genome assembly. Lineage: Eukaryota; Fungi; Ascomycota; Dothideomycetes; Eremomycetales; Eremomycetaceae.
GGGGAUGUAGCUCAUUUGGUAGAGCGUCCGCUUCGCAUUCGAUCUGAAACGUGACUGCGGAAGGUACAGUGUUCGACUCGCUGCUUCUCCA